RNAcentral lists this long non-coding RNA (1900 nucleotides) under Canis lupus familiaris (dog). RNAcentral's name for it is "lncRNA (ENSCAFG00805010892.1, ENSCAFG00845008631.1)". Lineage: Eukaryota; Metazoa; Chordata; Mammalia; Carnivora; Canidae. The record is from RNAcentral.
GGGAAAUGUCUAUCCUGCCAGCAGUGGAACACUCCUUUGGCACCACUUCACCUAAAACUUGAUCGAAUCCAAAAAUUAGUACAACUUUCCAAACCAGUCUCCUGCUGUUUUCAUUCACAGCUCCCUAAUUCACGUCCUAAGUAGCUGGGGCUUGCAAAAGCAGGUGCUACUUAGACACAAACAUUUGUACCUUAUGUUGCCUCUCCGAAUCUUGCGCUCAACUCACCCAGUAAGUUAGAAUAUGUUAAAUGUUCUAUCCCUUGUGUUUUUAAACCCCCACCAAUUUGCUGAAUUGUCUAUUUACCCUCCUACCAAACAGGAGUUAGCGAAGUCCUAUCCUGAUUGGUAUUACAUAGUUCUCGUAAAUUAAAUGAUUCCUUUCUCCCUCUUUAUUUUUCAGCAAGCAGAACUCCAUUAAUUACAAAGAAACAUAAAAUAUAUUAAUGUUCUUUUGUUCCUUCAACAUAAGCAUUUGCUUUCUUACAUAAGCAGAUAAUCCCUUUGUAUACUGGCCAGACCACUAGAAGAGCUAAAUGGCAAGAAUAAGCAUUUCUGGAAACCAAAAGAAAUUUUAAUGAAAUGGGAAAAGUUUUAAAAAUGCCAAGAAAAGGAAGGUGGACUCUUUACAUUUAUAAUUCCAGUUUCUAUUUUGUAUCAAUAUAUGCUGCAUUUUCUGACUGAAACUGCUCUUCUAAUGAAACCUGAGAUUUUCUGUAGCCACUUUUAACAUUUGAAAUCAAACUUUCACACAGGGGGUUCAACGGUAACCUGUUAGGGAUUUGAUUAAAAUAGUCUAACCGUUUCAUUAAUUCCCUUUUUAUGGGCUUUGAGUAUGGACGUCAUGACUUCACUAUCUCAAAAACUGUGGACAGAAAUCUAUGAAGCCUGUAGACUGUGGUUUCUACACCUCAAAGAAGACACAGAUCUCCCUCUAAGCAGUGAAUCAGCGAAUAAGAAACUGCAGUGUCCUCCGAUUCCUGACCCUUCCACCUUUCAUGGCCUUUUUUCUAUUCCCAUUCAUUGAGCGGUCAUGUGUUCUUGUAAAACAGAGAACAACUUACAUGCAAUCAGGUAUGGACACAAGAAAUGCGCGUGCACUCGAUUUCAGGACUCAGAUACUCCCACAGUCUCAGGACUGCGGUUCACUCGGCAUUCUUGUUAAUGGUGUGGCUUUGCUAGAAAAUAAGUUGCUGUUUCCUUUGCUCUAGUACUUCAGGAUUUUAAAUGUUUCAGCAAAUGAAAGAAAGAAAACACAUUUUAAGGCUGGUGUCAAAAACCAUCAGCUAUACUUGCAAAAAGCCGUGGUGCAGCUUCUGCCGUGUAGUUUAUUGCUAUAAAUAUGUACAGUUUAUGUUUUAUUCCUAAAACACAGAUAAAAGCUUAGUGUGUACUGUGCUCAAAGACAUGCAAGAUUUCAGGCCUAUCUUUUUAUAAUCCUUAAAAAUGUUUAGAAUUCUGAAUCUAUCAUUUCGGAGUCUUUAUUAUAAGAUUUAAUACAAAGCAAAAUCCCUUUAUUUGGAAGAAAUUCUUUGCAGUGUUAUCCAACAAUCCAACAAGUACUGGGGGCAAAGUACCAGCACUUUUUCAGGAGCUUAUUUCUGUACCACUUUGAUUUUUAGGGGUAAGAAAUUCUUUAAGAUAACACGCCUUACGAACAUUUGGACACAUGGAGUGUUCAUGUACUAGAAAAAAAGAAGAAAUUGUCUCUUUGUAUUAAAAAAUGAUGCCUAAAAUGGACUUUAAUAGCAUCCAUUUGUGAGGUGCAUUAUGUCAAAUUUCUUUUAAAAUCUGCACUGUAAAUACGAAUAUCAGGGUUGGGGUAUUUGUCGUCUUUCCUAACUGGAAGACCUCCAAACUCCAAAUUCAUUGUCUCCCCUCAGAAAUAAUAUGUUGACAAUAA